CAGUCGCCGCGGUAAUACGUAGGUCCCGAGCGUUGUCCGGAUUUAUUGGGCGUAAAGGGAGCGCAGGCGGUUUAGUAAGUCUGAAGUUAAAGGCAUUGGCUCAACCAAUGUAUGCUUUGGAAACUGUUAGACUUGGGUGCAGAAGGGGAGAGUGGAAUUUCAUGUGUAGCGGUGAAAUGCGUAGAUAUAUGGAGGAACACCGGUGGCGAAAGCGGCUCUCUGGUCUGUCACUGACGCUGAGGCUCGAAAGCGUGGGUAGCGAACAGGAUUAGAUACCCCAGUAGUCCCUGUCUCUUAUACA
This 301-nucleotide ribosomal RNA is filed under the name uncultured bacterium. RNAcentral's name for it is "partial 16S ribosomal RNA". It matches the Rfam family "Bacterial small subunit ribosomal RNA", at positions 509 to 808 of the family's 1533-position model. The record is from RNAcentral.